GUUAACACUAUCUGCUUGAGUCGUGCGUAGCACUGUCCUAAGAAACUGUUUCAUGAAUUGAAAUGUCUCCCCAAGAUUAAACAAGUCUUCUUCUUGUUACGAAUAAGAAAGAUAAACUUUCUUUUCUUGUUGCAAACAAGAAGGACCAGAACUAGCAAAUUAAACCAGCAGAUAUAAGGAGAGAAGAAGAGAACAGAAUUGUCAGGAAGGUAUCAACUGUCACUAAUAAUAGAGAGAGAGAGAGAGUCAGAGCAGCUAUCAGGAAGGUAUCAAAUGAAGCUGUCGGGGUGAGUUUCUGAGGAGGGAAUGGAUGCUAUUUAUAGAUUUUAGAAUGAGGUGCAACCCUUCUCACUUUCGAUGUGGGACAAAGACUGCAACUCUUCUCACUUCCCGAUGUGGGACAGAGAAAGCAAUCCUUCUCAUUUUUCGAUGUGGGACAAAACUUUUGAAAUACACUUAUAUUUUACAACACUAUGAAGCUCCGCAGAGUACAUUCCAGUUGUUUGGCACAAGAAUCGAAACAUAUUCUGAAUAGUCCCGAUCGCAGCAUAUGUAAUGCGUAAAAGAGUAAGGGGGACCAUAGACUUACCAAAACAUGCCGGUUGACGACAUAAUGUCAUGUGUAUGGUGGAAGAAGGCUAUGUCUCAAAGCUCCACCAUUGCAGCAGGGGAUUUUUAUAAGUAAGAGGUGCUCUUUCAUUCAGUAGCCGCAAUAAAAUCUAUCUUUUCUAUUAAAUGAAGUGAAAAAAAAGCUCACAUCUCAACGUGCCAAAAGAAGUAGCUUCAGCUGCCUUUCCAAUGGGAUACACGGGGCUACUCGCAGUGUCAAAAAUGGGUUGAUCCGAUUAUGACACAAAAACAAAAUGGGUCGUAAUGAGUCAACAAGUGGGUUGACAUGAAUGACAUGUUAUUGACCCGUUAAAACUUAUGGGUUGAUACGUUAACCCCAAACAUACAGCACAAGACGUUUGUAACCUGAAUUACCAUUUCUAUUAGGGAAUUCUAUUUCUUUUGGUACCUCUAGGAUAUACAACCAAACCAAAAGUAUAGAACUGAAAAAAAAAUCAAUUUCUUGGUUCUCUUCUACAUGUAAACCAAAUUUCUUUAAAUUUGCUUGUUAUCAUUGGAUUCCCCAUCUGGUGUUAGAACUGCGUGUGAUCAUCGUGGACAUUGAAUCUGUCCUCUUUCAAUUCAAGUGUUGUAUUGUGUAAAGUGGAUGUGGGAAUCAAAUUGUGUGCGCCCGUCACCGUCAGUUAGCAGCAUCCGCCAAGUGUAACUAUUACAUCCUUGGCUUUUAGUACGAGUGUGAAUCUAUUGGUUUGUGUUUCUCUAAGGAAAUACUAAACAGAAGAAAUUGAACACCCUUACUAUAUGUUUAACUUUUUUUACCGUCAUCCGUUGAUUUUAUCUUCAGAGUUACCGACGUUGACGGGUCAUUGCAUCACAGUAAUAAAAAACUGAUGGACCACGUCAAAUGAAUAAAUAGUUAAAUACUGGACGGAGCUAACAAAACAAAGCCUACCUCAAAUUACACGAGAAGUCAAUAAUGAAAUCUGGGCGAGAUUUGUGACUAGCAACAGGUCACCAUCUAAUUAGGCAAAAUAUAAAAUUAUAAAAAAAAACCCGAAAUGCCCCACGUCAGGAGGGUCGGCUAAAGAGUGGCUUCAAUGGGCUUUUGUUGGCCAGUACCAAAAUAAAAACGGAUGGGCCAUACAACAAUAGUUUUGUCUCAAACUCGAAUUUGGGCAAAACCAUUAUUAUUAUUAUUGACUUCCUAAUCCUACCACUGGGCUCAAACAAACCGUAUGGUAUGUCAAGGGGUUAAUUCAAAGCCAAAGGAAGAAGAGGGAAAGAGGUGAACUUUAUUACUACAAGUUGAAAGUUGAGUUUGGUGGCAUUAGAUUUCCAGCUUCCAUCCUUAAACCCACUUCAACAAAAUCCUUAGGGAAGCAAAGCCAUAUAUAUAUAUAUACUAGUUGAUGUGCGCCUCGCGCUUCGCGCGAGGUUGCGCAGAUAUUAUUUCUGCAAUGGGGUUAGUUUGUUAGUUUUGCUGGAACUCAUGAAUAAAGUGUAUUUACACUGCAAAAGAUACUGCAUUGAAAAAAGUAGUAUUAACAUCAGGAAAGGCAGAACUGGUCUAAUAAAGGCAGACCUGUUAAGCACCAGCCUAGGAUGACUAAAUGUUUCUGUGCAAUUCCACAGAUGGCAACACACGGAAGGUGCCAAUUGUCCAGAUACAAUGAUCAUUCACAGCCAUGCAAUUGUCCAGCACCAGCCUAGGAGGAUGACCAAAUGUUUCUGUGCAAUUCCACAAUUGGCCACACACGGAAGGUGCCAAUAGGGGACCAAACUAUUCUCAAAUAAGUGAACCAAGGGCAGGAUCGGUAUAUUAGGGCACCACCGUCAAAAGCCAACCCAACAACAAAUGCCAGCCAUAAAUUUCUCAAAGCAUCACACAAUAACCACACCACCCAUGUUCCAAAAUUACAAAACUACCCACACACUUAAGGUGCCAAUGAGGGACCAAAAUCACUGUUCCUAAGACCAUUCGCCCUUUUACUCUAUUAGGAUAGGAUGUAAGACUAGAGGCCCUCUAGAACAUUAGUUAAAUACAUAGUAACAAAUGUUUUAGUACAUAAUAAAUAGAAAUAUAGGAAAAAAAUUAAGUAUAAAAAUAAUUAAAAUUUGUUGUGAAAAGAAAUUCCAUCUAUAAAGUUAACCCCAAUUUAUUGUGAUUUGGACAAAGAGUUUUCAACCAAUAUUAUGUGUACAUAAUGAUACCAAAAAAAAAAAGAAAGCAAAUCCAUUAUGAGUGCAUUAUCGAUUUAAUAGCAGCAUAGUUUUAGUUGUAAUUAAAUAAAAAGUAGUUAUAAUGUUUCUAACAUUUUAAUAAUUAGAAAAAAUAUAGAAAGCCACCAAAACCUGUCACAAUCUUCAACAUCAAUAAAAAAACAUACAAACUUGCAUAUUUUUUUCUUUUUUGAGAGAAAAAGCAAGUUAAUUUAUCCAUUUAAAUCAUGUCUAAUAGCAUUACAAAUAUAUGAAAAUAUUAUCUAACCAAAUAGUUAUAGAAUACAUAUAGCAAGUUUAAAUAAAAACAUGAAUUGCCAUGUUUCUAAAUCUACAUAUGCAAAUUCAAAUCCAACUUUGAUUGCAAUUAUGUCUUCUUAAUCAAAAUAGAAUUUUCUAAUAAUAUUUUGUCGAGUGACUGUGAUGCCCGAAAGGAAAAGAAGCAAAAAAAAAAUUUGGUGGAAAAUGGGAGGUCCAAAUCCGGCCAGUUCUUGGCCGGAUUCCCUGCCGGAUUGUUUGUGCAUUUUGAAAAAAUGGGAUUUCGUUUUGCCCUGAAUCCGGCCUGGAAUCCGGCCGGAUUGUGACGUGGCAUGUCAGCCAUCAAUUUUGACCAGCUGAUUUUCUUCCUUCUUAUCUUGCUUUUGGCUGAAAUAUCUUCCAUUUCCUACUCCUUUCUUGGCCGGCUGUCUUGGAGAGAAAACAAGAGAGGAAAAACUCCUUUUCUUUCCCUUUGAUUUUCUUCACUAAAUCUUGAGAUUUCACCGAUGGUUUUGGAAACUACUCCAUACAAGUGUGUACUAAGGAGGUUUAAAGAGGUUGGUGGAGUUGUUUUGGAAGGAAAAGCUCUAAGUCAUCAUUUUUCUUGAGGACUUAAGGUAUCUUGCUUGAAAAAUUCUCUCUUUGUUCUAAUAAUGGCAUAUUAAUGGUUUAUAGUGGUUAAAUAUGUUGUAUUGUGGAUGAUUUCAUGAUUUUAAGUAGAGUUGGACCAAUUUCUGAUUUAUUGGGGCAUUUUUUGAUUUUAUAUGAUUAUGGUUCGUUGGUCAUGGAAUGAUAGCUUGUUGUGGUGUAAAAUGGAUCUUGUAUACGUUGGAUAUGAUUGUUUGCGGAAAAUUUCUGGUUUGUGUGGAAAUUUCAGUUCUAGGGUUUUGAAUUGGGGCUUUCUUGUGAUUAGUAUUGGAGCUAUUAAUUGGCUCAAGUGGAAGGGUAUUGUGGCCCUAAUUGAAUGUGUUUUAUUGCUUAUGACCUGUAUGUGUAAUUGUGAUUGGUAAGAUGCAAUUUGGUGUUUUUAUUGUAGGGUGGAAAUAAAGAAAUUAAGGGGAAGUGCUGUCCAAUCUUUGAGAGCAUUUGAUCGCUUUGAGUUGAGUUGCCUUUUGGUAGAAAUGAAGGAUCUUGCUUUGCUUGUUUUCAAGGUGUUGGAAGGCAUAAUCAUUAGAAGCUUCUUUUGUUCUUUAAUCUUGUGAUUAAGUAUUGGAUAAGUUGAUCUUGAUUAAUUUUAUAGAGAUUCAUGUGAUUUGGAAGUUGGGAUGAUGAAGUUCCAUGUUGGUGAUAUUUCCAAACUUUAUCUAAGUGAUUUCAUUUUUGAUUUGCCAUGUAUAUGAUUAGUAGAAGCUAUUCUAGUGUUAAGGUGGAAUUACUAGCCUUAAUUGUAAUUAGUGAUGGUUAUAUGCAAAGAUUUGUUUAGAAAUGUAAUUUCAGUUUUUAUGGUAUUAUUUCUGCCCUCAUGUGAUAAGUAGUGGUUGUUCAUAGCAUGAUAGCUUGAUAUUGUGAUAAAUGAAGCUUUGGUAUACUAGUUUUGAUUACCUAAAGGAAUUUCAGCUAGAGUACAUGAAUUCCAGAUUAGGGUUUCCAAUUGUGGUAGUAAUCUAUCCUAUUUUUGCACUGUAUGUUUGACCGUAAAAGAGACUGAAUCGGCCCUUGUUCAAAACAUGAAACUUGUAGAUACAUGAGUUAGCUAGUUACCUACAAAAUUUCAGAUUUGACUGGAGUACUGUAGCCUGUGAAAUGAUCGAAAUACCCUUGACUGCCCAUAACCCCUGUUUCAUGGACAGUUUCCUUUCUCUCUAAGAUUCAGUUUUUGACCCUGAAUAUGUAUGAUUUGGCUUUGGAGGUCUUCAUAGGAAAUGUUGGUAUAUGUCUUAGCUUCGUAAAGUCAUAAGAUUCGUUUCAAUCGGAUAAGUGUAGCUUUACUUGUGAUUAAAAUGCCAAAAGGUGAUAAAAGCUUGAUAAUGUUAGAAUUCCUUUGCUUGACCUGAUAUUUGUGAUCUAGGGCUUGGACUUGAGCAAGGCAAUGAUAUAUGAUGGAUGGUUCAUGAGCCGUGAUUGGGCUAAAGGGCUUGUAGUACUUAUUCAUGUGAUCGGAUGGGUUACCUCAUGUACAGUUUGAAUUCGGACUCCUCUUGUGUAAUAGUUAGGAUUGUUUGAAUGUUUAGACUUGAACAAAUGUAUAUAUAUGUUCCACUCUUGGAAAUUUGUUUGCUUCGUUUUUGGGAACUAGUUUCCGCUUCGCUUAUGAUAUGAAAUUCUUGGAGAAUUGGAUGUAAUUUUGAGAUAUAUCUUGUAAGUUAUUUGAGGACUGUAGUGAGUAACUGAGUCCCGACGAGAGUUGGGCAGGCGGUCCGCCGAACCCUUUGGUUCGCCUUAGGGGGAGGUGGGCCUGUCACAGUGACACUC
Molecule: non-coding RNA, 5460 nt
Organism: Coffea arabica (coffee)
Lineage: Eukaryota; Viridiplantae; Streptophyta; Magnoliopsida; Gentianales; Rubiaceae
Source: RefSeq, a predicted model, not a curated record